CUUGCUCCUUUUCGCUGCUGAUAGGUCAUUUAUUACUGGGGCUGAAAUGAGAUAAACAAUUCUCUCUCUUUUCCCCCUUGUUAACAGCAACUUUCAUUGUUGGAGAGAGAAGAGCCUUGUUGGUUGACGUCACUUUUGGUUCAUGAAGGCUUCGCCUGGAAGUGAAGCUGAAUAAACCUUGAGCAGAGAAUCUGCUUCAAUCUGCUGCAGCUGUAAGGAACUAGCCAGCGAGACAGCGAAACAGAUACACACAGAGAGAGCUACACUCGUCCAAAUUUCCCCAGUUUUCCCACUUCUCCUUAGUGUUUCUUUACGCUCUUCUUGAGGGUAAGGGGUUGGACAGGGAAACAUCCCCGACAUCCCACUCCUACCCUUCAGCCACCUGAGAAAGGGGAGAUCUUUCCCAAACUAGAAAGUUUGUAAAUCAGUGAUGUCCCAGAACUGACCACAUUCAUCACAAUGUAUUACAGAGGUGAUGUCAAGGUGAAAGCAGACCUGCAGAAUGGUUGGAAAUCAUUGAUAUUCUGACUCUGAGGCUGUAAAUGGCUCUGUGGCAGAUGGAGUCUUUGUCAAGGAAGAAAAAUGGCAGCUUUGGAGCAUCAUAGAUGUUUUUGCUAGCAGCUCAGCUCACAGGCUGUGACCUUCUAGUGUUCAGGAGUUUCUCUUGUGCUUUAAUAAAUUGUCCUAUGCCUUUAUUCCCUAAAGUAGAUAAAUAGUAGUCAUCAUAAUUCAGUACAAAUUGAGGUGUUUCAUUAUAAAGAAACGUAAACAUGUUUUAUUAUCCUGAUUUGUAAGAAGCAAGGUUGUGUUUCUGAAUGAGGUAAGUUCAGAAAUAUUUUAACUUGAUACGUUUGUUACUAAAACUAAAAGGGAACCCCACUAACCUUGAACCUUUUUAUAUAUUUUUUCUAGUUCCUUAGAACUAGCAUCACAUUUAAACUACACAUGAGAUGAAAAAUAAAACAGACAAUAUAUUUUUGGUCAGUGUGUCAAUUUUUAAAUUGUUUGCACUGUGAGGACCUGUAGCUAGCUAAUUCAAGUAAAGGGAUAGAAUGUCAGGGUAUAGUGUAUAUUGGUGAAAGUAUUUCUUGCUAACUUGGAAAACAAGAAUGCAUAAUAUAAAUUCAGAAUUAUUUGUAUUGUUUUUUGUUUUUACUGAUGCUAGUGGUUUGUGACCCAAAGAUACUGUAGCAUACUGUGGUGUUGAUAAAAUUGUACAGAACAGUUAGCACCUGGCAGCAUCCAGUCCU
This is a non-coding RNA of Pelodiscus sinensis (Chinese soft-shelled turtle), 1250 nucleotides long. The record is from RefSeq and is a predicted model, not a curated record. Lineage: Eukaryota; Metazoa; Chordata; Testudines; Trionychidae.